RNAcentral lists this ribosomal RNA (482 nucleotides) under uncultured bacterium. RNAcentral describes it as "partial 16S ribosomal RNA". It matches the Rfam family "Bacterial small subunit ribosomal RNA", at positions 30 to 507 of the family's 1533-position model. The record is from RNAcentral.
AUUGAACGCUGGCGGCAUGCUUUACACAUGCAAGUCGAACGGUAACAGCACUUCGGUGGCUGACGAGUGGCGAACGGGUGAGUAAUACAUCGGAACGUGCCUAGUAGUGGGGGAUAACUACUCGAAAGAGUAGCUAAUACCGCAUGAGAUCUAAGGAUGAAAGCAGGGGACCUUCGGGCCUUGCGCUACUAGAGCGGCUGAUGGCAGAUUAGGUAGUUGGUGGGAUAAAAGCUUACCAAGCCGACGAUCUGUAGCUGGUCUGAGAGGACGACCAGCCACACUGGGACUGAGACACGGCCCAGACUCCUACGGGAGGCAGCAGUGGGGAAUUUUGGACAAUGGGCGCAAGCCUGAUCCAGCAAUGCCGCGUGCAGGAUGAGGGCCUUCGGGUUGUAAACUGCUUUUGUACGGAACGAAAAGCCCUCUUCUAAUACAGGAGGGCCAUGACGGUACCGUAAGAAUAAGCACCGGCUAACUACGUG